This 69-nucleotide transfer RNA is filed under the name Methylobacterium aquaticum. RNAcentral describes it as "tRNA-Gly". Lineage: Bacteria; Pseudomonadati; Pseudomonadota; Alphaproteobacteria; Hyphomicrobiales; Methylobacteriaceae. The record is from RNAcentral.
GAGGGCGCAAUCUCGGCAAUACAGCCUUCCAAGCUGAAUACGAGGGUUCGAUUCCCUUCACCCGCUCCA